Molecule: unclassified non-coding RNA, 385 nt
Filed under: Hevea brasiliensis (rubber tree)
Lineage: Eukaryota; Viridiplantae; Streptophyta; Magnoliopsida; Malpighiales; Euphorbiaceae
Source: RNAcentral
ACCAUGCUUUCCAUUAGGGAAUAACUUAGGGUUUUCAUCCCCAUCUUCCUCGUUAUCAAUGAAUUGCUGAAACCCUUCAAGCAACACGUCUUCCUCAUCAUCACCGCAAACCUUAGAAAACCCACGAAUCUUUUCGCCUCUGCCACUCAAUUUGUCCACUACUUCCUUCUGAUGUUCAAAUAAACCUCCAUAUCCAAUACUGGCAUUCAAAGCCCUAGAUUUGUUGCCAUUCCUAACAGAUCGCACAUUUUUUGCAGGUUUAUAUGAGCACCCAUUCCUUUUAGCUGCAAGCCCAUCAACGAACUCCAAAAAUCUCACUAUAUCACGGCUAAUUGAGCUUUUUCCAUCUCUGAUCAUAGGAUCACCGCCCUGAAUAGAGUCAAGU